AACAAAACAAAAGAUCCAUUCCAGUCCCUUGUGCUAAUAUUCUAAAGUGGAAGCUGGAAAUGCUUUUAUGACUCUUCUCCUGGCCCCAGCCUUUCCUGGCACUUUGUACCCGAAUGAGUACCGAAUGAUGCUACUCAUCACUCAGCUGCUAUUCCAGGCCCUGUGCACAAGGUCUGACACAGGCUAGAAGCCUGUUCAUUGAACAUUCCCCACCCAGAGCAUCCACGGCUCACAAUCGCCCACCUCUUUUCAUUUUUAAUUCUCACAAAAAUGGACGUUUUACUGCUCCUCCUGGAUGCCACUUAAAAACCUGGAUUUGCCUUUUGCCCGCUGCCAGGAUAAAGAACAGCAUCUGAGCUUCUCCUGUGGAAAAGCUCCUGACCAGGAAAGCAGUCAGAGGGCGCCCUCUGCCGGUGGACCUGUGACCCGCUCUAACGUAGGCAACUGCAAACCUAACCCAAGAGUACGAACUGUAGAGUCUCUGCCUCUGGGUUUCUGCUCAGCAGUGAGAGGAGCUUGGAAACUGCCCAGCCAGAGUGGAACGAAGAUCACGAAAUUAAAUGGACUGCUCGCGGUUGCCUGAAGGUCUAGAAAAUCCCUGUGCUUCGGGUCGAAAUUCACCCUGGAAAGAGUCCUGAGGACAGGCGCACCGAAAGCACAGAUGUCGGGAAGAAUUUAUGGGUGGUACCCCCAGGACGCCAACGGGCUACUUGGGGUUUACUAUACUGCUUUUCUGUGAACUUAAAAAACGCAUAGCUGUUUGCCUAAGUUGCUAUACCCUCUGGGAGGCAAGCAUGAGUGUAUUGGCAGGAAUCGCUGUGCGUUCUGAACCCUUAGCUGCGAUGCGAACUUAGUUCAUUCGGUGCAGCCGGGUUCCUGGAAGCGCCACCCCACACUCCGCAACCCGCCCGGGUGUUUGCAAAAUGUGUUAUCCGGAUCCUUAUAUUCUCUGUCUCAAGUGCCCAAGACUCAAAAACCAGACCAAACUAUACCGCCCGAGUGGAGAAAGUGUGGGAUAUGACACUAGAGGGAGGUACCAAAAUUGGUAGGAAUAACAGACAUCCCAGACCUCUGUUUCCAGCGUUUUGUUCAGUGUCUGGGGGAACGCACUGGGCAGUGUGUCCGAGGGUUUAUGCAAGUUCGACUUCCAAAAGCCCCCGUGGCUUUUGCAAGAGUGAGGUUUCCCAAAGGCCUUGCAUUCUCGGUGCUGACUUUUCCUAUCAAUGGGAGAGACGCAGGCUAUUGACCCAGCGGCCUCCUCCUCUCGGCCUAUUGUCGCGGCUCAAUCACGCACUUACCGGAAGAAAAGCAAGUUUAUCUUAGCUUGGAGGAGCCUCGUGCUCUCUCUCUCUCUCUCUCUCUCUCUCUCUCUCUCUCUCUCACUCUCUCUCUCUCUGUGUGUGUGUGUGUGUGUGUGUGUGUGUGUGUGUGUGUGUGUGUAUAAAGGGUGGGGGAAAUUCUGCAACCAGGACUGUGCAGAUGGGUUGAGGAUAGACACUUUCAGAAAAGGACCAAUUUCCCUUUCACAAUGAGCGCUAAGUACCUGACAAAUGGGGCUGGUGUUUAUUCAUGAGCAGGUACUUUGGAGAUGGCGAUUAGAACAGCCGCCCUCGCUGCCUAGCCAAGGUACUUAAAGCCGGGCAGGUGCAGCUCGGCGCGCGGUCCCAGCGCACAAAGCCCGCGGCUGCCACGGCGCGGAGAGGGGGCGGGAUGCGGGGCGCGCGGGCCCGGAGGGCGCGCCUAACGCAGGCACCUUAGCCCUUUGUUCCUCUUCUGGAGCCAAGGCCACUUCACAGAGGGGCGCCCCUGGAAAACCUCCCCUCUAAUUACCAGGAAUUUCCCUCCAACCCUCCUCUGGGAGCCCAGCCGAGCAGCUCUUGGGCUGGAGGCCUCAGAGGCUCGUGGGAUCUGGCCUCGCGUUUACAUAAAUGUCGCCUGGGAGUUAACCAUUGGCUAACCAGCUAACUAACUGGACAACUAGGACAGGACCUGGAACCCAGGCCUGGGAACCGCGCGGGCACCCGCCGCGGAGGCGCCACCUCUGGCGGUGCGAACAACCUCGGGCUUUCAGGUUUUGUUUCAACUCCAAAGGGAGAAAAUUGGGGUCUGUCUCAUUCUCCAGUUUACUGGCGCCAAGGUCGUGGGACAAACUCGAUCUUGCCCUCGCCGCCGCGGCUACAGAAUCCCUAAGAACCACUGGCUUUAGUGACGUCCUCGCCUCGGUAGUGAGAGCUUGACGGGCACCGAGCGCAGGCUUCUCCGUGCUUUAGACACGGGACGUGGACCAGCUCCUGACCUAGGCCAGGCACUGUGCGAGGCAAACCCCAGGCUGCCGAGGUGCUAAAUGUCAGUAAUGUCCCGAGGUCGGGAACACCAGUGGUGUGCGUCCUCCUGGGUCUCUGUCGCCUGGGAUUGCUCUCUGUCGCUGUUGUUUUAAAUCGUUUCGAAAAGCCCACUAAGAUAACUUAUCUUCAGCCCACAGAAUCAGACAGGAGAAAUGUGUUUCAAACACGCUGGUUCCUCUUGGGGAGAAAAUUCUUUGAGGAUGAUAGAAAACAAGAGACAGGGGGAAACGAUGUCACCCACCAUUAGGCGAGCUUUUACAUUUCCCACCGCGAAUAACCCACCAGCUCUCCCUUGUGAGAUACAUCAUGCUUAUUGACACCCAUGAGAGACAUUUCUAGAACCUCGAGGUUAGAAUAAACUAUAGAGAUACGGUAAGCCUGAUUCUCGGGCAAAUCCGA
Mus musculus (house mouse) is the source of this 2744-nucleotide long non-coding RNA. RefSeq annotates it as predicted gene, 31740. NCBI's taxonomy places the organism in Eukaryota, Metazoa, Chordata, Mammalia, Rodentia, Muridae. The transcript has 3 exons. The record is from RefSeq and is a predicted model, not a curated record.